UGAACAAAAUUUAGUCAACCAAAUGGUUUUAAAUUUUUAUCCAAAUUAAUCUAUUUAUUAGCAAUAUCAAAUGCUUUUGUCGUUUUGGGAUAAUUACUCGUCAUCAUUACUACAAGAAAAAAGGAACAAUACCGAAAAUUCACAAUACUGGCAACCUGAAAACAUUUUGGAGAAUAUAUCGAAAGAAAAUCCGCUCAAUACGUCAAUCUCUUAUAACCAAAUAAAUUAUCAAUUACUCGGCCAAAACCCUUUAUUCACCUAUUUUUACAUCCAGCAAAUGAGUCAAAUGAUGCAAUAUCUACAAU
Long non-coding RNA from Octopus sinensis (East Asian common octopus), 305 nucleotides. RefSeq lists it as uncharacterized. Lineage: Eukaryota; Metazoa; Mollusca; Cephalopoda; Octopoda; Octopodidae. The record is from RefSeq and is a predicted model, not a curated record. The transcript has 3 exons.